AGGUGCCUGCAGAUGUCAAGAACUGUCCUCCACAGCAUCCCUGUUCUUUACCUCCUGUCUCCAUGAUUAAUUCAAGCUGUUGGGAUCUCACAUUACCAUCAGGCUGUCACUGCACUGAGGGUCCCAAAUGGCUCCAGCCCAAGCAACAAAUUAAUCCAGGCUGCUGAGCUUCUGGAAGAUGAAGAACUGACCCAUCGGAAAAUAUACAGAUUGGAACAAGCAUAGCUUUAUUCUUCCCCUUCUCGGGAUGGACCCCAAC
RNAcentral lists this long non-coding RNA (259 nucleotides) under Homo sapiens (human). Its description in RNAcentral is "HSALNT0227847". The record is from RNAcentral. Lineage: Eukaryota; Metazoa; Chordata; Mammalia; Primates; Hominidae.